CCCUCUCUCUCCCUCCCCUCCCCCGACUCUCACUUUCUCUGUCUAUAAACUAUGGAGAAUAUGAUGAACAAGAUCCGGAAUUUGGUCGCAUACCCCGAAAUCAACGAAGAUUUCUACAGCCGUACCCUCUCCGGCGGCGUCAUCACUCUCGCCUUCUCCAUCGUUAUGCUCCUGCUCUUCUCCAAGGUCGUACGCUUUCCUUUUGCUAUUUCUCUUUGUUAUUUGAUUGGAAUUUGUGUUUUCAUUGAAGAUCUGUCAGAUUCUAGGGUUUGGAAUUAUGAAGUAAUGUCAAUUUUGUAUUUCAAGUGGGUGGUAUAGUCUUAUCAGAUCCAACCAUAUUCUCUCAGAGUCUACGAGUACGGGAGAAUCUCACUGUUUUUGCUUCCUUCAUUGGUCAAUUCGACCAGGUAUAAGAAAGUUGGGUACUUGAAUACUGAUGUUGGGCAACCUGAGUUCAGUCCUCGUGGGUUUCUAUCUCUCCUUGUGCUACAUGAAGUCACUCCAGGAGUUUUGGUUGGAGUUUAAACUUUUUGGUGGUCAACUGGUCAUAGAGUGCUGAUCAACACGAUUAAGCUUUUCACAAAGGAUGAUAUGUGCCAUUGUUUUGGUUGCCUGUUUCUCACGGGGUUUGAUAAUUACUUUCAGCAUUUAUAUUAACAAUUUGCUCUGUCAGAACAAUAAAUCCCUGAGAAACAAACUAAUUGAAAUGCAAAUAUAAGUGUCAAGCCCUCAAUUUUACUGGACCAAAAAUUCAGCAUAUAUAUGUCUGUAAAAUAUUAUGGAAUGUCAAAUUCUGCAGUGACAGUCAUCAGUCAAUUCACUC
Rosa rugosa (rugosa rose) is the source of this 823-nucleotide long non-coding RNA. RefSeq lists it as uncharacterized. The transcript has 3 exons. Lineage: Eukaryota; Viridiplantae; Streptophyta; Magnoliopsida; Rosales; Rosaceae. The record is from RefSeq and is a predicted model, not a curated record.